AACGAACGCUGGCGGCAUGCCUAACACAUGCCAGUCGAACGAGACCUUCGGGUCUAGUGGCGCACGGGUGCGUAACGCGUGGGAACCUGCCCUUAGGUUCGGAAUAACUCCCCGAAAGGGGUGCUAAUACCGGAUAAUGUCUUCGGACCAAAGAUUUAUCGCCUUUGGAUGGGCCCGCGUUGGAUUAGCUAGUUGGUAGGGUAAAAGCCUACCAAGGCGACGAUCCAUAGCUGGUCUGAGAGGAUGAUCAACCACACUGGGACUGAGACACGGCCCAGACUCCUACGGGAGGCAGCAGUGGGGAAUAUUGGACAAUGGGCGAAAGCCUGAUCCAGCAAUGCCGCGUGAGUGAUGAAGGCCUUAGGGUUGUAAAGCUCUUUUACCCGGGAUGAUAAUGACAGUACCGGGAGAAUAAGCUCCGGCUAACUCCGUG
Molecule: ribosomal RNA, 433 nt
Filed under: uncultured bacterium
Lineage: Bacteria
Description: partial 16S ribosomal RNA
Rfam family: Bacterial small subunit ribosomal RNA
Source: RNAcentral